This 305-nucleotide ribosomal RNA is filed under the name uncultured bacterium. RNAcentral describes it as "bacterial SSU rRNA". It matches the Rfam family "Bacterial small subunit ribosomal RNA", at positions 338 to 657 of the family's 1533-position model. The record is from RNAcentral.
CCUACGGGGGGCAGCAGUAGGGAAUUUUCGUCAAUGGGCGCAAGCCUGACCCAGCAACGCCGCGUGAAGGAAGAAGGCUUUCGGGUUGUAAACUUCUUUUCUUGGGGACGAAGAAAGUGACGGUACCCAAGGAAUAAGCCACGGCUAACUACGUGCCAGCAGCCGCGGUAAUACGUAGGUGGCAAGCGUUAUCCGGAUUUAUUGGGUGUAAAGGGCGUGUAGGCGGGAAUGCAAGUCAGAUGUGAAAACUAUGGGCUCAACCCAUAGCCUGCAUUUGAAACUGUAUUUCUUAAGUGCUGGAGAGG